CUAAGGGCGGUGAAGUCAGACCGGAAGGACUGGUGGAGCGCUUAGAAGUGAGAAUGCCGGUAUGAGUAGCGAAAGAAGGGUGAGAAUCCCUUCCACCGAAUAUCUAAGGUUGCCUGAGGAAGGCUCGUCCGCUCAGGGUUAGUCGGGACCUAAGCCGAGGCCGAUAGGCGUAGGCGAUGGACAACAGGUAGAGAUUCCUGUACCAGGGCUAAUUGUUUAACCGAUGGGGUGACACAGAA
RNAcentral lists this ribosomal RNA (239 nucleotides) under Listeria monocytogenes. RNAcentral's name for it is "partial 23S ribosomal RNA". It matches the Rfam family "Bacterial large subunit ribosomal RNA", at positions 1241 to 1479 of the family's 2925-position model. The record is from RNAcentral. Lineage: Bacteria; Bacillati; Bacillota; Bacilli; Caryophanales; Listeriaceae.